ACGGCGACAGUGACGAAGAAGGAUGCCACCUAGCUCGUUGCCUCGCCAGCAGGUGCGCCCGUUGCGGUUUAGUUCACAGAGACUACGAUCUAGCAGCAAAGAUUAUGGGUGACAUGGAAAAGUUCGAUUGUGAGGUUUUUAUUCCUGAUGUCAACGAGCUGCAAAUGGAUGGUGACACUAUACUUGUGCCUGACCAUGUUUUGAUUAAGUUGGACAAGCAAAUGGAAGAUGCAAAGAACAAACAUUUGAUGCAGCAAGACUAGCGAGAGCUUCAUCUAGCAAGGAUGCUUCGCAAGUGAUUUGCAAUGGCAGCCGUUCUUCUCUCUCAAGUCUUUGUUUUUGCAUGUGAGGAAUUUUGUAAUUGUUGUUUCCUUUAACCUUGAUGGAUUCCUUCAAAACAGUCUGAAGAGUUACAAAAAUUCUA
Panicum virgatum (switchgrass) is the source of this 424-nucleotide long non-coding RNA. RefSeq lists it as uncharacterized. The transcript has 2 exons. Lineage: Eukaryota; Viridiplantae; Streptophyta; Magnoliopsida; Poales; Poaceae. The record is from RefSeq and is a predicted model, not a curated record.